This 21-nucleotide non-coding RNA is filed under the name Callorhinchus milii (elephant shark). The record is from RNAcentral. RNAcentral also lists the same sequence under 1 other name. Lineage: Eukaryota; Metazoa; Chordata; Chondrichthyes; Chimaeriformes; Callorhinchidae.
UGAGGUAGUAGGUUGUGUAGU